RNAcentral lists this microRNA precursor (195 nucleotides) under Oryza brachyantha (malo sina). RNAcentral describes it as "MIR812 microRNA precursor family". It matches the Rfam family "MIR812 microRNA precursor family". Lineage: Eukaryota; Viridiplantae; Streptophyta; Magnoliopsida; Poales; Poaceae. The record is from Rfam by way of RNAcentral.
AAUAAACUAAUUUUUCACUUUUUAUCUUUAAUUUUUGACUUUUCGUCUUAUUCAAAAAAAUUUUAUGAUUGAUAUUUUUAUUUUUAUUAGAUGAUAAAUUAUGAAUAGUAUUUUACGUGUGACUAAUUUUAUUCUAAUUUUCUGAAAAGUUUUUAAAUAAGAUGGAUGGUUAAAUGUUAGACACGAGAACCGAAG